Molecule: small nuclear RNA, 88 nt
Filed under: Ophiophagus hannah (king cobra)
Lineage: Eukaryota; Metazoa; Chordata; Lepidosauria; Squamata; Elapidae
Description: 7SK RNA
Rfam family: 7SK RNA
About the family: 7SK was discovered as an abundant small nuclear RNA in the mid-70s but a possible function has only recently been suggested. Two independent studies have found that 7SK RNA binds the CDK9/cyclin T complex (known as elongation factor P-TEFb). P-TEFb activates transcription by phosphorylating the C-terminal domain of RNA polymerase II.
Source: Rfam by way of RNAcentral
UGACUGAAUAUGGCUGUGAUAUCUGUCAUCCCAUCGAUUGCUAGGGUUGCUUAUUUGGCUGAUCUGGCUGGUGUCCCAUCCUCCCUCA